GUGCUUUCUUCAGCAGCAUAUAUACUAAAAUUGGAAAAAUAUGGAGAUUAGCUUGGCCCCUACAUGAGGAUGACAUUCAAAUUUGUAAAGCUUUCCAUAUUUUU
Molecule: small nuclear RNA, 104 nt
Organism: Molossus molossus (Pallas's mastiff bat)
Lineage: Eukaryota; Metazoa; Chordata; Mammalia; Chiroptera; Molossidae
Source: RefSeq, a predicted model, not a curated record